This is a long non-coding RNA of Papaver somniferum (opium poppy), 1065 nucleotides long. RefSeq lists it as uncharacterized. NCBI's taxonomy places the organism in Eukaryota, Viridiplantae, Streptophyta, Magnoliopsida, Ranunculales, Papaveraceae. The transcript is spliced from 2 exons. The record is from RefSeq and is a predicted model, not a curated record.
UUUUUCCGUAUUCGAAAUCUAACAGAGUCUGUAUACCCCGGAGGAGUGCUAUUGAGAACACAUGUGGUGGUUUUGAUGGUGGCUGAAUCCUGAAUGUAACCACCACUCGUGUUCUCAGGUCACCCCUCUGGGGUACUCUGUUUCACAACAAUUCGAAUCGACAAUAGCAGAGUUUUUAUACCCCAGAGGAGUGCUACUGGGAACACAUGUGGUGGUUUUGGUGGUGGCUGAAAUGAACCACCACUCGUGUUCUCAGGUCACCCCUUUGGGGUACUCCGUUUCCAUUCGACUGACCAUUUGGAAAAAUGCCGUCGUUGGUUUACGAAACUGGUAAUUUAGUCCAUUUCGACCAUCUCCUCCGCCACCUCGACCCCAUCAUGAAACAACAAAUACAUAAAUGGUCGAGUUGCGGUUGGGAUGGUCUAUAUGGAUUAAUAUCAGUUGAAAGCAAUGGGAUUAGUUUCCAAAUGGGUACUUAAUUGGCAUGAAAGAUCCCUCAAGAAGCUAUUGUGAAUGUAUGUUGCUCUAGUUUGUCGUUCAACGGCAAUUGGGUGUGCUAAUUUCCUGCACCAUGAGCAUCAAGAAUGAUGUUGCUGAAUGGAGAAUCUGAAAUCAAAGGCAGUGCCUUAACUUCUCUUGAGAAGUCAUUUCUAUCAUCGUGGAGCUUACUUGCUAUUAUCUCCUGCUACUACUGCUUCUUGGGAAUCAACUGCCAACAAAACUAUACGGUUCACCAUGUAAAUUUUGUACACAGUGUAGAGUGUAAGGUAUUUCACUGUAUGCAGAUUUUGCUACUUGUACACCAAAUUUUUACACCGAAUCCACACACCACUAUGCUAGACCCAAAAAUGACUAAUGUUUUUGGGAAUAGGUGGUUUCACACUAAAACCAUGAAACAAUGAGCGAUGGACACAUAGUGAUGCAUGGAUCUGGUGUAGAAAUCUUGGUGCAAUCAAAGCACUUUCGGAUUGUUAAUGGCUCAAUGCCAUCCGGGGAAAAAUACAGAUUGUAAUUUGUACAGCAGUAUCAUUCUGAUAUUUUUGAAAUGAAAUUUGAUUCGUUAUA